RNAcentral lists this ribosomal RNA (327 nucleotides) under uncultured eukaryote. RNAcentral describes it as "partial 18S ribosomal RNA". It matches the Rfam family "Eukaryotic small subunit ribosomal RNA", at positions 1470 to 1796 of the family's 1831-position model. The record is from RNAcentral.
CCCUUAGAUGUCCGGGGCCGCACGCGCGCUACAAUGGAUGAAUCAACGCGUCAUCCUGGCCCGAAAGGGUUGGGGAACCGCUGAACCUCAUCCGUGGUUGGGAUUGGGGUUUGUAAUUAUUCCCCAUGAACUAGGAAUUCCCAGUAAGCGCGAGUCAUAAGCUCGCGUUGAUUACGUCCCCGCCCUUUGUACACACCGCCCGUCGCUACUACCGAUUGGAUGGUUUAGUGAGAUCCUCGGAUUGGUCACGGCACGGUGGCAACACUGCGUCGGUGUGCCGAGAAGACGAUCAAACUUGGUCAUCUAGAGGAAGUAAAAGUCGUAACA